GGCGGCGGCGCGUGGGCACCGGAAGUGCAGCCUGCCGGCCCCGCCUUGUCCGCGCCCACGGGGGGGCACUUCCGGUCAUGGGGCGUAACGGAGCUCUGAGUGUAGACAGGGGGCUGCUGCGCUGCACCCCCAUAUGCAUGGAGGAUGUUUAUGGCUACUUGCAACGAGCAUCCCUGUAUUACCUGCUUCUCUAUGUUUCAGGAGACCCCUGCCCACCCUUGCAGAUGUCCACGACAUCAUGCCAGCCUCAGCAAGCAUCUCUUUCCUCCAGACGACAGCCUGGGUCUACCUUCAUGCCAGGAUGUGCCGCGAGCCCGUCCUCUUGCCCACUGGACCCUCCCUGGAUCUCAUGAUGGUGGAGAAGGGUAGUGACCCCCUGUGUAUAUUCAGGCAGCGCUUGUCUGACCCUGAUAUAGGCAAGGGUGUGGCCAGGAGAUUGAACCCUUCUGGCGUUACUUGUGUGUGCAGGACAGUGCUGAUAAGCGUGUGGCAGAUCGUGAGGGGUUGCUGUGGACUAUAGCAGUCAAAUUCACGAACGCUUGAAGAUUGACUCCAGAAUAGACUUAUGUUCUUCAACUCCCUAGUCU
RNAcentral lists this long non-coding RNA (587 nucleotides) under Rattus norvegicus (Norway rat). RNAcentral describes it as "long non-coding RNA NONRATT007771". Lineage: Eukaryota; Metazoa; Chordata; Mammalia; Rodentia; Muridae. The record is from RNAcentral.